This 200-nucleotide unclassified non-coding RNA is filed under the name Xylochrysis sp. RNAcentral's name for it is "partial internal transcribed spacer 2". The record is from RNAcentral. Lineage: Eukaryota; Fungi; Ascomycota; Sordariomycetes; Woswasiaceae.
UUAAGUUCAGCGGGUAUUCCUACCUGAUCCGAGGUCAACCUUGAUAAACAUUGUGGUGUUUAGCGGCUAGAGAACCCGCCAGAGCCAUCCAAAGCGAGAUGAUAUUACUGCGCUCGGAGUCUCAGCGAGCCCGCCGAUGUCUUUAGGGGCCUGCCGGCCGAAGCAGGCAGUAAUCCCCAACACCAAGCGCUAAGGCUUGA